AAAUUGAAGAGUUUGAUCAUGGCUCAGAUUGAACGCUGGCGGCAGGCCUAACACAUGCAAGUCGAACGGUAACAGGAAGCAGCUUGCUGCUUUGCUGACGAGUGGCGGACGGGUGAGUAAUGUCUGGGAAACUGCCUGAUGGAGGGGGAUAACUACUGGAAACGGUGGCUAAUACCGCAUAACGUCGCAAGACCAAAGAGGGGGACCUUCGGGCCUCUUGCCAUCAGAUGUGCCCAGAUGGGAUUAGCUUGUUGGUGAGGUAACGGCUCACCAAGGCGACGAUCCCUAGCUGGUCUGAGAGGAUGACCAGCCACACUGGAACUGAGACACGGUCCAGACUCCUACGGGAGGCAGCAGUGGGGAAUAUUGCACAAUGGGCGCAAGCCUGAUGCAGCCAUGCCGCGUGUAUGAAGAAGGCCUUCGGGUUGUAAAGUACUUUCAGCGGGGAGGAAGGUGUUGUGGUUAAUAACCGCAGCAAUUGACGUUACCCGCAGAAGAAGCACC
Molecule: ribosomal RNA, 504 nt
Filed under: Salmonella enterica
Lineage: Bacteria; Pseudomonadati; Pseudomonadota; Gammaproteobacteria; Enterobacterales; Enterobacteriaceae
Description: bacterial SSU rRNA
Rfam family: Bacterial small subunit ribosomal RNA
Source: RNAcentral